Molecule: ribosomal RNA, 424 nt
Filed under: uncultured bacterium
Lineage: Bacteria
Description: partial 16S ribosomal RNA
Rfam family: Bacterial small subunit ribosomal RNA
Source: RNAcentral
AAUAUUAGACAAUGGGCGAAAGCCUGAUCCAGCCAUGCCGCGUGUGUGAAGUAGGUCUUCGUAUUGUAAAGCACUUUAAGUUGGGAGGCAGUGGUUGAAGCUAAUACCUUCAAUCUUUGCCGUUACCAACAGAAUAAGCACCGUCUAACUCUGUGCCAGCUGCCGCGGUAAUACAGAGGGUGCAAGCGUUACACGGAAUUACUGGACGUAAAGCGCGCGUAGGUGGUUCAGUAAGAUGGAAGUGAAAUCCCCGGGCUUAACCUGGGAACUGCUUUCAUAACUGCUGAGCUAGAGUACGGUAGAGGGUAGUGGAAUUUCCUGUGUAGCGGUGAAAUGCGUAGAUAUAGGAAGGAACACCAGUGGCGAAGGCGACUACCUGGACUGAUACUGACACUGAGGUGCGAAAGCGUGGGGAGCAAACAGG